Acanthosepion pharaonis is the source of this 112-nucleotide non-coding RNA. The record is from the annotation of a GenBank genome assembly. Lineage: Eukaryota; Metazoa; Mollusca; Cephalopoda; Sepiida; Sepiidae.
ACAGCUAUAUCAUGUUGAAAUACCAGUUCUGGUACGAUCACCGAAGUUAAGCAACGUCUAGCCUGGUCAGUACCUAGACAGAUGAUCGUUUGGGAAUACUAGAUGCUGUAAG